RNAcentral lists this ribosomal RNA (1096 nucleotides) under Salinicola salarius. RNAcentral describes it as "bacterial SSU rRNA". It matches the Rfam family "Bacterial small subunit ribosomal RNA", at positions 129 to 1219 of the family's 1533-position model. Lineage: Bacteria; Pseudomonadati; Pseudomonadota; Gammaproteobacteria; Oceanospirillales; Halomonadaceae. The record is from RNAcentral.
CCCGGUAGUGGGGGAUAACGUGGGGAAACCCACGCUAAUACCGCAUACGUCCUACGGGAGAAAGCGGAGGAUCUUCGGACUUCGCGCUAUCGGAUGAGCCUAUGUCGGAUUAGCUAGUUGGUAAGGUAACGGCUUACCAAGGCGACGAUCCGUAGCUGGUCUGAGAGGAUGAUCAGCCACACUGGGACUGAGACACGGCCCAGACUCCUACGGGAGGCAGCAGUGGGGAAUAUUGGACAAUGGGCGAAAGCCUGAUCCAGCCAUGCCGCGUGUGUGAAGAAGGCUUUCGGGUUGUAAAGCACUUUCAGCGAGGAAGAAAGCCUCUGGGUUAAUACCCCAGAGGAAGGACAUCACUCGCAGAAGAAGCACCGGCUAACUCCGUGCCAGCAGCCGCGGUAAUACGGAGGGUGCGAGCGUUAAUCGGAAUUACUGGGCGUAAAGCGCGCGUAGGUGGCUUGGCACGCCGGUUGGGAAAGCCCCGGCGCUCAACCUGGGAACGGCAUCCGGAACGGCCCAGGCUAGAGUGCAGGAGAGGAAGGUAGAAUUCCCGGUGUAGCGGUGAAAUGCGUAGAGAUCGGGAGGAAUACCAGUGGCGAAGGCGGCCUUCUGGCCUGACACUGACACUGAGGUGCGAAAGCGUGGGUAGCAAACAGGAUUAGAUACCCUGGUAGUCCACGCCGUAAACGAUGUCGACUAGCCGUUGGGACCUUUAAGGACUUAGUGGCGCAGUUAACGCGAUAAGUCGACCGCCUGGGGAGUACGGCCGCAAGGUUAAAACUCAAAUGAAUUGACGGGGGCCCGCACAAGCGGUGGAGCAUGUGGUUUAAUUCGAUGCAACGCGAAGAACCUUACCUACCCUUGACAUCCAGAGAACUUUCCAGAGAUGGAUUGGUGCCUUCGGGAACUCUGAAACAAGUGCUGCAUGGCUGUCGUCAGCUCGUGUUGUGAAAUGUUGGGUUAAGUCCCGUAACGAGCGCAACCCUUGUCCUUAUUUGCCAGCGAUUCGGUCGGGAACUCUAAGGAGACUGCCGGUGACAAACCGGAGGAAGGUGGGGACGACGUCAAGUCAUCAUGGCCCUUACGGGUAGGGCUACAC